AUUGAACGCUGGCGGCAGGCCUAACACAUGCAAGUCGAACGGAAGAACGGUGCUUGCUUGUGGUUUCCGCGGGGGACGGGUGAGUGUUGCACAGGAAUAUCCCUGGCUGUGGUGUAUAAUGUCCUGAGGAAGGCGCUAAUACUGCAUAAGUGCAGAGGCUGAACGUGGGGGAUCUUCGGACCUUUCGCUCUCAGGUGAGUCUAGGCGGGGUUAGCUAGUUUGUGGGUUAAGGGCCUACCAAGUCGACGAUCCGUAACUGGUCUGCGAGGAUGAUCGGCCACACUGGAACUGAGACACGGUCCAGACUCCUACGGGAGGCAGCAGUGGGGAAUAUUGGACAAUGGGCGAAAGCCUGAUCCAGCCAUGCCGCGUGUGUGAAGAAGGUCUUCGGAUUGUAAAGCCCUUUUAGUGGGGAGGAAGAGCAGUAGGUUAAUACCUCGCUGUUUUGACGGUACCAACAGAAUAAGCACCGGCUAACUUCGUG
This 484-nucleotide ribosomal RNA is filed under the name uncultured bacterium. Its description in RNAcentral is "partial 16S ribosomal RNA". It matches the Rfam family "Bacterial small subunit ribosomal RNA", at positions 30 to 507 of the family's 1533-position model. The record is from RNAcentral.